UACAGAGGGUGCAAGCGUUAAUCGGAAUUACUGGGCGUAAAGCGAGCGUAGUCGGUUAUUUAAGUCGGAUGUGAAAUCCCCGGGCUCAACCUGGGAAUUGCAUUCGAUACUGGAUAGCUAGAGUUCGGCAGAGGGAAGCGGAAUUUCUGGUGUAGCGGUGAAAUGCGUAGAUAUCGGGAGGAACACCAGUGGCGAAGGCGGCUGCCUGGGCCAGUUCUGACGCUGAGGCGCGAAAGCGUGGGGAGCAAACAGG
RNAcentral lists this ribosomal RNA (253 nucleotides) under uncultured bacterium. Its description in RNAcentral is "partial 16S ribosomal RNA". It matches the Rfam family "Bacterial small subunit ribosomal RNA", at positions 524 to 776 of the family's 1533-position model. The record is from RNAcentral.